GUUAGCGCUAGGGAGUUCAGAAGUUCUUACCAGAGCUUUCCAAGCAAUGAGAUCUGAAAACAUUCUGCAAUUUCUUAAUUUUAAUGUUAGAGUUAUUUAAUCAAAGCUAUUUAUAUCAGAGCUAUUUCUACAAUUGUUGCAGAAUGCUUAAGGUUUUAGACAUAAUUUUCAUCAGAGCUAUUUAAUAAUUUCUCCCCCUUUUUGGCAUAAUCAAAAAGGCAUAAAAAAUAAAAGAAUAAUAAAGAGAAAAAC
This 252-nucleotide long non-coding RNA is filed under the name Lathyrus oleraceus (garden pea). RNAcentral describes it as "Pisum sativum (pea) long non-coding RNA (PSAT_LNC032943)". The record is from RNAcentral. Lineage: Eukaryota; Viridiplantae; Streptophyta; Magnoliopsida; Fabales; Fabaceae.